CACAUUUCCCCGCCAUAUCGUACAAUUGGCCGUAAACGUCGGCUGUUUCGAGAAGAUUCGCCGCGUUUGGAGAAGUGAUUAACAUCGGAGCUGCAACAGUUCUUCAGCAUCAUGGAAUUUACCGAAAACUGAAAAGGGACUAAAUCCUCUCAGAGAUACAGAACAGCACGUGAAGUUGGACAAAGAUUAAGACAUACAUGGAUAUAUAUAUAUAUCAAUCACACCAAAGGGCGAGGUGUAUUUGCAAAAGGCUUUAUGUUGAAAGGUUCAUUCAUUCUUGAAUCCAGAGGAAUCUUGUAUAAGCAUUGAUGCUUCAAGCGUUGACAGAUCACUUGGGAGACUAGUGAAUGAUGAGCAGAAACCCAAUGCAAAGAUGAAAAAGAAGUGGAUGGUAUGCCCCAUCUUUUGGCCAUUAUGGAUGGAAGGGAAUUUCGAGAGAUUACUUAUGACUAUGGAGGUGUUGACUUGCCAUGACAUUCCUGCCAUGGACAGGAAAUGCCCAAGCCCAUGGCUCCAGCUACAGUCCAGGACCAAGUCAUCUCUCCCGCUGCCCCUCCUGAAGAGUGGAUAACAGAGGUAAAUGCACAUCUGCAAGAACACCAUGGAUGAAAGCUGAGGUCAACGCUGUGAUGUGACGCUUCAAUCUCAUAUCAUGAAGGGUCACUUGGCAUCUAGAGGGAAUGUGAGG
Xyrauchen texanus (razorback sucker) is the source of this 688-nucleotide long non-coding RNA. RefSeq lists it as uncharacterized. The record is from RefSeq and is a predicted model, not a curated record. The transcript has 6 exons. Lineage: Eukaryota; Metazoa; Chordata; Actinopteri; Cypriniformes; Catostomidae.